UACGUAGGGUGCAAGCAUUAAUCGGAUUUAUUGGGCGUAAAGGGCGCGUAGGCGGGAAUGCCAGUCAGAUGUGAAAUCCCGAGGCUCAACCUCGGAACAGCAUUUGAAACUACAUUUCUAGAGGGUAGACGGAGAAAACGGAAUUCCACAAGUAGCGGUGAAAUGCGUAGAUAUGUGGAAGAACACCAGUGGCGAAGGCGGUUUUCUAGUUUAUACCUGACGCUGAUGCGCGAAAGCAAGGGGAGCAAACAGG
This 253-nucleotide ribosomal RNA is filed under the name uncultured bacterium. RNAcentral's name for it is "partial 16S ribosomal RNA". It matches the Rfam family "Bacterial small subunit ribosomal RNA", at positions 524 to 776 of the family's 1533-position model. The record is from RNAcentral.